This 1136-nucleotide ribosomal RNA is filed under the name uncultured bacterium. RNAcentral's name for it is "bacterial SSU rRNA". It matches the Rfam family "Bacterial small subunit ribosomal RNA", at positions 157 to 1360 of the family's 1533-position model. The record is from RNAcentral.
GACGAGUCGAUCGCCGUAAGAUACUUGACGUCUAUCGUAAGUGCAGCAAGACUCGCUCAAUCGAUGACAGAUGGAUAGCUAGUAGCAGUAUGACACUAGCGACGAUCUAGCUGUCGAGAGAUGACAGCACACUGACUGAGACACGUCAGACUCUACUGAGCAGCAGUGGAUAUGCACAUGCGCAGCUGAUGCAGCAUGCGCGUGUAUGAGAGCUCGUGUAGUACUUCAGCGGAGAGCGACGGUAUACGCGUCGAUGACGUAUCGCAGAGAGCACGCUACUCGUGCAGCAGCGCGUAUACGAGGUGCAGCGUAUCGAUACUGGCGUAAAGCGCACGCAGCGUCUGUAAGUCAGAUGUGAAUCCCGGGCUUACCUGGGAGCUGCAUUGAAACUGGCAGGCUUGAGUCUUGUAGAGGGGGGUAGAAUUCCAGGUGUAGCGGUGAAAUGCGUAGAGAUCUGGAGGAAUACCGGUGGCGAAGGCGGCCCCCUGGACAAAGACUGACGCUCAGGUGCGAAAGCGUGGGGAGCAAACAAGAUUAGAUACCCUGGUAGUCCACGCCGUAAACGAUGUCGACUUGGAGGUUGUUCCCUUGAGGAGUGGCUUCCGGAGCUAACGCGUUAAGUCGACCGCCUGGGGAGUACGGCCGCAAGGUUAAAACUCAAAUGAAUUGACGGGGGCCCGCACAAGCGGUGGAGCAUGUGGUUUAAUUCGAUGCAACGCGAAGAACCUUACCUACUCUUGACAUCCACGGAAUUUGGCAGAGAUGCCUUAGUGCCUUCGGGAACCGUGAGACAGGUGCUGCAUGGCCGUCGUCAGCUCGUGUUGUGAAAUGUUGGGUUAAGUCCCGCAACGAGCGCAACCCUUAUCCUUUGUUGCCAGCGAUUCGGUCGGGAACUCAAAGGAGACUGCCGGUGAUAAACCGGAGGAAGGUGGGGAUGACGUCAAGUCAUCAUGGCCCUUACGAGUAGGGCUACACACGUGCUACAAUGGCGCAUACAAAGAGAAGCGACCUCGCGAGAGCAAGCGGACCUCACAAAGUGCGUCGUAGUCCGGAUCGGAGUCUGCAACUCGACUCCGUGAAGUCGGAAUCGCUAGUAAUCGUGGAUCAGAAUGCACGUUCGCAGAGCAGUAAACCGC